CUGAGCAACAUUUAGCUAACUCUUUUUAACAUUGCUUCAGGUACUCUACUAAGUUAUGAAGAUUAAUUAGGAGCUAUAAUUGAUGACAACAGUUGAAGUACUUCUGGGCGUCAUCGAGCUGCAGAGGUCCUCCCAUUUGCGCGGGAAGACACAGGUGAGACCUGCCAAGAGGGGCUGACCGUCAGCGGAAGUUGUGUUUCGGCUUCUUACGGGACGGCGUUAAUCUUCCUGUUUGGAGCGUGAUUAAUAAUUGGUUUGCUGUUAAAAUGUACAACACUACAAUCGUAGCAUUGUAGACUUCAGUUACUCAUUUUAACACAGCAGGAAAAGCGCAGAUGAACGUAAGUUACUCCCUCAGCCAAAGAGUGACCGACACUUUGCUCCAUGAAGCUGAAUGAACAGGCUUUCCUGACAGUGCAGACAUGGUGGUGGAGCGAUGGGUGGAGUUCCAUACACCUAUCUGACCCAAGAAUGAGCAGCACUCAGCUGCUGAUGUUUCACCCAAUUAUAUAGCAUCAAAUAACAAAUUAAAAUCAAUUCUAUCAGAAAAUGAACACUUGAACAUGCAUCGAUGUCCUAAGAUCCUAAAGUGACAGAAACCACCAAUGGAAAAAUAUAUAUGACUUGGAGAUUUGGGUUUCGUAGUGUGUGGUUCUCUGUCUUUGUGUGUCGGCCCUGCGACUGACUGGCAGCCAGUCCAGGGUGUACCCCGCCUCUCGCUCGUAGUUAGCUGGGAUAGGCUCCAGCCCCCCUGCAACCCUGACAGAUAAGCAGUAUAGAAAAUGGAUGGAUGGAUGGAUUUGGUUUUACUAAAUCCACCCACCAGGGGGCAAUCAAGAUGCUAUCGCUUCACUUUUUUGGAGCUCUCGAGUCCCUUUUAGCACGGUCAUUAGUUAACAGUAACAAUAUAGAGCAUGAGAUAGAACAAAAUCUUGAUCAAUCAGUCAGUAAAGAAUUGAACAGAAAAGUCUCACUUCAGAUGUUUACCUCUUCCCCGCCUGCAC
Scatophagus argus is the source of this 1004-nucleotide long non-coding RNA. RefSeq lists it as uncharacterized. The transcript has 3 exons. NCBI's taxonomy places the organism in Eukaryota, Metazoa, Chordata, Actinopteri, Scatophagidae. The record is from RefSeq and is a predicted model, not a curated record.